Molecule: ribosomal RNA, 466 nt
Filed under: uncultured bacterium
Lineage: Bacteria
Description: partial 16S ribosomal RNA
Rfam family: Bacterial small subunit ribosomal RNA
Source: RNAcentral
GAUGAACGCUGGCGGCGUGCUUAACACAUGCAAGUCGAACGGUGAAGGCGGAGCUUGCUCUGCUGGACCAGAGGCGAACGGGUGAGUAUCACGUGUGCAAUCUGCACCUGACUCUGGGAUAUGAGCUGGAAACGGCGUCUCUUAUUGGAUACGAGCUGUGAAGGCAUCUUCAGCAGCUGGAAAGAAGUUCGGUUAGGGAGGUGCUAGCGGCAUAGCAGCUUGUUGGUGAGGUUAGGGCUCACCAAGGCGUCGAGGGGUAGCCGGCCUGAGAGGUGGACCGGCCACGCGGGGACUGGGACACGGCCGAGGGGCCUACGGGGGGCAGCGGGGGAGAAUAACGCACAAUGGGCGAAAGCGUGAUGCAGCAACGCGGCGUGAAGAACGACGGCCUUCGGGUUAAACCUCUGUGAGCAGAGAAAAAGCGGAAGUGACGGUACCUGCAGAGAAAGCGCCGGCUAACUACGUG